Molecule: ribosomal RNA, 567 nt
Filed under: uncultured bacterium
Lineage: Bacteria
Description: bacterial SSU rRNA
Rfam family: Bacterial small subunit ribosomal RNA
Source: RNAcentral
AAUAGAUACCCCGGUAGUCCACGCCGUAAACGAUGGAUGCUAGCGUCGGGGUAGCCUUGCUCUUCGUGGCGCAGACUAACGCCUUAAGCAUCCCGCCUGGGGAGUACGGUCGCAAGAUUAAACUACAAGGAAAGUUGACGGGGGCCCGGCACAAGACGGUGGAGGCAUGUGGUUUAAUUUACGAAGCAACGACGCAAGAACCUUACCAACCGUUGACAUGCCCGGUCGCGGACGACGAGAGAUCGACUCCUUCCAGGUUAGGCUGGACCGGACACGAGGUGCUGCGUAUGGCUGUCGUCAGCUCGUGUCGUGUAGGUAAUCGUUGGGUUAAAGUCCCGCAACGACGUCGCAACCCUUGCCUUUACGUGCCAAUUCAGUUUACGUGGGCAACGUCUAAAGGGCUGGCCGGUGAACGUAAGCCGGUAGGAAGUGGGGAUGAACGUCAAGUCCUCAUCGGCCCUUAGGGUGGCUACACACGUGCUACAAUGGCGGUGACGAGAGGGGCAGCGAAGUCCGCGAGGUACAAGCUAAUCCCAAAAAGCCGUCUCAGUUCGGAUUGCACUCUGA